This 460-nucleotide ribosomal RNA is filed under the name uncultured bacterium. Its description in RNAcentral is "partial 16S ribosomal RNA". It matches the Rfam family "Bacterial small subunit ribosomal RNA", at positions 338 to 795 of the family's 1533-position model. The record is from RNAcentral.
CCUACGGGUGGCAGCAGUGAGGAAUAUUGGUCAAUGGGCGCGAGCCUGAACCAGCCAAGUAGCGUGAAGGAUGACUGCCCUAUGGGUUGUAAACUUCUUUUAUAAGGGAAUAAAGUGUUCCACGUGUGCCUUUUUGUAUGUACCUUAUGAAUAAGGAUCGGCUAACUCCGUGCCAGCAGCCGCGGUAAUACGGAGGAUCCGAGCGUUAUCCGGAUUUAUUGGGUUUAAAGGGAGCGUAGGGGGCUAGUUCAGUCAGUUGUGAAAGUUUGCGGCUCAACCGUAACAUUGCAGUUGAUACUGGCAGUCUUGAGUACAGUAGAGGUAGGCGGAAUGCGUGGUGUAGCGGUGAAAUGCUGAGAUAUCACGAAGAACUCCGAUUGCGAAGGCAGCUUACUGGACUGCCACUGACACUGAGGCUCGAAAGUGUGGGUAUCAAACAGGAUUAGAUACCCGUGUAGUC